UAUUCUCCUUCAUUAGGCAUACGACGAUCGGGCCCAUUCCGAAAAAAUAUUAGAGAUAUGGUUUCUAUCGACUAAAACCGGUUUUUUAUUGUCGUUCACCAAUGGAAUGGAACUGGGUGCUUUGUACAAAAACAUGGGUCGUUGAACACGUUCGGAUGGUCACUCCGAAGCUGGUUAGGUCGUCGAAGCGAUGCUGCUGCAAACCGAAUCGAAUGGCAAUGAUCACAAAUUUAACACAUCGAUUCAAUCGAUACCACCAAAAACGUUGAUGUUAGGAUAUGAUUUAACAAAACAUUGGCCACGUUUGGUUUAUCCAUUUAGCGUAGCUUCACAUAGAAACCCACCAAUGAGCCCCACGUGGUUUACCAGAUACGUUGACUCCGUUGAUCGAUAAGGGCAUCGUUUCUGAUUUACCCAGCUCAUGUCAGGUUCAUUCGCUAAGUACCGUGACAUCGCUUGCAGAGUCGAUUUGCAACGACGCUGUAACCACCAGGAUACGUUUCCUUCUUCAUUUCAGGUCGAUUGAGCUAGGCUUUAAUCACCGCCGGUCGAUUUUGUCAUGGAGCCGCUGUUACGUUCUUUGAGGACAACGCAAUUGCAGGCAGCGAUAAUCAGAAAAUGGGCAGUCAUUGACAGCAAGGUUGGAUGCACGACGCGACGUACUUUGAAUCCGUUGGUUUUUCGAUGAGCGUUGUGCCCGCCACGAGAUUGAUAUGUAGCUGGAACUCGUCGAUGAACUUCUGGAGACACCUGUGCGUCAACCGUGCCGUCCCUAUGCGAGAAAGGAGACGUACCGAAACUUCCGCGUAACGUUAUGCUUGAAGACCACUAACACAAUCCAUUUUUCAAAUUCGAACUCCUCGCAAGCACGAUUUACUUUCCCCCUUUAGCUGAUCCGAAUAACGUGCAAACCAUUCUUCGAACGUGAUACCGUGGAAAGGGACAUACGUUGAUGGGCUACCUAAUUUUGGUUUCCAGAAAGUUACUCAGCGCAUUGUAUUGAAGCGUUGGAAUUAUUCCCUGACAGAAUUAUGUAACUGUCGUUAUUCCAUUACUUCAGACAUUCGUUAUCAACAAAAAAAAUGUUCUAGUACCCUCUUGCAAUUCUCAAACUACAUCUACUAAAUGAAAUGGCUAACUGAAUAAAGCUAUAUGAGUAAUAGUAGGACUAAUGUAUUAAAAAACUUUAAUCUACCUUGAAACUCUGCUCUUAUUCCCUUCACUGGAAUCUAUCUAUAAAUUAUCCUUAGUUGCAUUGUGUUGUAAUGUUGUAGUGUAUGGAGAUUCGUCUAACGAUACUUAUGUCGUGUCAUGGUCCCAUUGUUGCUGAAUGAAGAAGUUCAUAGAACGCACAAACAUGCGAAUACGUAGUCAAUAGAACACAAAGAAAGUUUAACAAGUUCUCGUAGUAGGCAGUAGCGGAUAGUGGAGUACAAUAUAGGAAGAAGUGGAGAUUUCGUUGGGAGUAUUUCGUCCGGUGUUGUUUAAACUAUCACCUCAGGAUGUCAUUCGAUAAAUUCGUCCGAAGGAACCUCGUAAAUGGCCUACGUGGGAGGAAAUGUGUUGCAGGAUUACACAUUAAGAUAAAGAACCGGAAGAAAUUUAUACAAUUAGUGGAAACAGAGACAUAAGGUUUCAGAUGCUAUACUAAAAGAACUUCUAUAUGUUAGUUGAUUUCUACGAUUGCACAAAAA
Armigeres subalbatus is the source of this 1694-nucleotide long non-coding RNA. RefSeq lists it as uncharacterized. The record is from RefSeq and is a predicted model, not a curated record. NCBI's taxonomy places the organism in Eukaryota, Metazoa, Arthropoda, Insecta, Diptera, Culicidae. The transcript is spliced from 2 exons.